Acromyrmex echinatior (Panamanian leafcutter ant) is the source of this 1541-nucleotide long non-coding RNA. The record is from RefSeq and is a predicted model, not a curated record. NCBI's taxonomy places the organism in Eukaryota, Metazoa, Arthropoda, Insecta, Hymenoptera, Formicidae.
AAACGCUACGAAUUAAUUCCAACACCUAAUAUGUUUUUCUAAAAACUUAUUGAUUUACCCUCGUAUAGAAUUCUUAUAACUAAUUUCUAUAACUUGGUUGGAAGAAUCAGAUCAUUGUUUUUGGCCUGAAGGAAUGAAAAAUAUCAGAACUGCAAUAGUUAAAGGAUUACCCGUGCAAGAUAAUUGAUAUAAAUAUAAAUGCAAUAUUAUCAGUAAACAAGUUAUUUAUGAGUCAGCUUUAAAGGCUGAAAAAGAGGCUGUUGCUCAGAAUCUGAAAAUGAUCGGGAAUUGGGAAAAAGAAAAGUUAAAUCUAAGAAAUGUAAUGAUUAUGUCGGUCCUCCAAAAUUGAUCUCAUAUACGUACAAGAAAUCAAAUAACACGGCAGGUAUUGAUGAAAAUGUGGCAAGCAAUUCAUUGGCGGAGCCAUUGGCAGUUUCAUUGACAGACAAAAACCAAAAUCUGGAAUAAAAUGCUGUUUUAAUUGAUGUCAUCAACAAUGCAGAUAUAAUAUAAUAAUUGAAGAGACAAAUGAUUUCACUAGAAUAAUAAAUGAUACGAAAAAAAUUAUAACCGAUAUUCAUUCUGAAAUAGAAAGUUUGAAAAACAAAUAAGAGCAAUCAUUUUCACUGAUUCAGGAAACUGUUAAUCUCAUUUUGGCUAAAAUAAAUAGUGAACGAUAUUCAAGAGAAGUUAUAAUGAAAGAUAAUAAAAUUGGAAAAUAUUUUCCACUAACUUCAAUUGAAAAUUUCCUCGAAUUCGAGCAUAUAUUGAACAACGAUUAGGAAGUUUUAAUAUAAGUCAUGAAUAAAGUUUUGCUAAUUGGAGGAAAAAAUGAGAAGGAUUUUAUUCGAAAGGUGCAAUUUUUACUGAUGUUUUAGCUUCAAUAUGUUAAUGGACAAGACAAAAACAAAAAUUUUAAAGAUACACAUGUUAUAAUAGGUAUCAAAAAUAAGUGCUUUUGUGACAAUUAUGACAAACACACGUGUGCAUACACACGCUAUACGCACACAUGCACGCACGCAUACAUGUUUGUGCACAGAUUAUGUUAGCAAUCCUGCAACUCGUUAUGAUUGAUUAUUUUUGACUUUAUUUUUUUCUCUACUUCAACUUUAAUUGACUUUAACUGAAUGCUUUGCGUUCUUUCAGUCUAGAAUAACAGUUCAAAGUAUUAAGAUAUAUUUGUGUUGUUGUAAUGAAAAUAAAAUCGCAUAAUAUCUCACAGCGACAUGCCACCUUUUAGUGUCUUAUAACUAACUUAUAAGAAGUUUUAUCAAGCUUUUUUUGCCAAAUUGUCGAAUUUUAUUUAAAAAAAAAAUGACAUUUUUGUACGAUAUAACGCAAUUUCAGACUGAAAGAAUGCAAAGCCUAAUCAAUCGAAGUUGGAGUAAGCAAUAAUCGAAGGUGAAAAUUAGUGACAAUCGGUUGCAGAGUUAACUAACACAAGAGGAAAGUAAUCUGUUUACUUUAUUAUCUGACGUAUAUUUCUAUCGUAUUUCAAAAUGUAUCAAUUAGAAUAAAAUAAAUCACAUACAAAUAAAAGA